This 576-nucleotide ribosomal RNA is filed under the name uncultured Vibrio sp. Its description in RNAcentral is "bacterial SSU rRNA". It matches the Rfam family "Bacterial small subunit ribosomal RNA", at positions 162 to 733 of the family's 1533-position model. Lineage: Bacteria; Pseudomonadati; Pseudomonadota; Gammaproteobacteria; Vibrionales; Vibrionaceae. The record is from RNAcentral.
GCUAAUACCGCAUAACGCCUACGGGCCAAAGAGGGGGACCUUCGGGCCUCUCGCGUCAAGAUAUGCCUAGGUGGGAUUAGCUAGUUGGUGAGGUAAAGGCUCACCAAGGCGACGAUCCCUAGCUGGUCUGAGAGGAUGAUCAGCCACACUGGAACUGAGACACGGUCCAGACUCCUACGGGAGGCAGCAGUGGGGAAUAUUGCACAAUGGGCGCAAGCCUGAUGCAGCCAUGCCGCGUGUAUGAAGAAGGCCUUCGGGUUGUAAAGUACUUUCAGUUGUGAGGAAGGUGGUGCCGUUAAUAGCGGUAUCAUUUGACGUUAGCAACAGAAGAAGCACCGGCUAACUCCGUGCCAGCAGCCGCGGUAAUACGGAGGGUGCGAGCGUUAAUCGGAAUUACUGGGCGUAAAGCGCAUGCAGGUGGAUGACUAAGUCAGAUGUGAAAGCCCCGGGCUCAACCUGGGAACUGCAUUUGAAACUGGUCGUCUAGAGUACUGUAGAGGGGGGUAGAAUUUCAGGUGUAGCGGUGAAAUGCGUAGAGAUCUGAAGGAAUACCGGUGGCGAAGGCGGCCCCCUGGA